Molecule: ribosomal RNA, 164 nt
Filed under: uncultured bacterium WB20.1
Lineage: Bacteria
Description: partial 16S ribosomal RNA
Rfam family: Bacterial small subunit ribosomal RNA
Source: RNAcentral
CCUACGGGAGGCAGCAGUGGGGAAUUUUGGACAAUGGGCGCAAGCCUGAUCCAGCCAUGCCGCGUGAGUGAAGAAGGCCUUCGGGUUGUAAAGCUCUUUCGGCGGGGAAGAACUCGCCACGGGUUAAUACGUCUGUGGAUGACGGUACCCGAAUAAGAAGCCCG